UAAAAGUUUGAUUUUAGCUUUGUUAUUUAUGUUAUAAUUUUUUUGCAUGUAAAUUUUUGUGUGAAUAAAAAUUUAAUUAAAAAUUAAAUUUUAUUAGUUAAGUUAUUAAAUUUAUUAAUUGCAGUAUUUAAUUUUAAUAAUUAAAUAAAUUUAGAAUUAUAAAUUAUAAGAUUAUAAAUAAAAAAUGUGCCAGCAAUUGCGGUUAUACAUUUUAUAUGAGUAAAUAUUUUUUAUUUUUUAAUAUUUAUAAAUACAGUAUUUAUAUUAAAUUAUUUUAAAUAAACUUAAAUUAGGUGAAAUUAUUUUAUUUUUUUAAAAAUAUAUUAAUUUUUAAAUUAUUAUGAAAUCUUAUUUUUAAACUAGGAUUAGAUACCCUAUUAUUUAAGAUUUAAAUUUUAGUAAGAUUUUAGAAUAGUAAUAGUUAUGAGCUUUAAAUUUAAAAAAAUUGGCGGUAUUUAAAACUAAUUAGGGGAAUUUGUCUUUUAAAUGAUAAUCCUCAAGAUACCUUACUUUUAUUAAAAAUUUAUUUAUUGCCGUUAUCAGAAUAUUUUAUUAGAAAUUAAAAUUUUCUUAAAUAUUAAUUAAAUAUUUAUUUCAGGUCAUUAUGUAGUGUAUGUAAAAGUUAAGAUGAAUUACAAUGAUUUUAAAUUAUUAUGAAUAUUAAUUUGCAAUAGUUAAUUGAAGGUGGACUUAAUAGUAAAAUAAUAAAAUUAAAUUUUUUUGAAAUUAGAAUUAAAUAUGUACAUAUCGCCCGUCGCUCUCGUUUUUAAUAUGAGAUAAGUCGUAACAAAGUAGAUGUACUGGAAAGUGUAUCUGGAAAGUAAUAAAAUUAUUU
Molecule: non-coding RNA, 835 nt
Filed under: Sinopoppia nigroflagella
Lineage: Eukaryota; Metazoa; Arthropoda; Insecta; Hymenoptera; Tenthredinidae
Source: RNAcentral